Molecule: long non-coding RNA, 639 nt
Organism: Argiope bruennichi
Lineage: Eukaryota; Metazoa; Arthropoda; Arachnida; Araneae; Araneidae
Exons: 3
Source: RefSeq, a predicted model, not a curated record
CCCGCCUUUUGUGUUGUGAUGUGUUUGUGUGGUAGCUUAGAAAUGUCCGUGUCCAUAUAUGUGUGAAAAUAAACCUAUGAAAGUUUCAACUCCUGCUUCUUCAUUAAUGGAAUUGUCAUGCACUGACUGAACAUCGUGUUGUACCCUGGACGUGAUACGUUGAAAUUUGGAAAUUGAAAUUUUUUUGGAAAGCGUUUGGAGGAAGCACAGUGAGGAGCUGAAACCAGAGAAUUAUCUGGAUACAGAUCAAAAUGCUCUACAUGGAAACUAAAAAGUAUACGUCAGGUAUACGAAGAGCAUUUCAAAGAAGAUGAUGUAGAAUUUGUCACAAUUUUUAAUAAGAAAUCAUCUGCAGAAACAUUCAGAGUCAAAUUGAAAAAACCAAGACUCCAAAAGGCACAUUUCCUCUCUUUUUCACAGUUGUCCUUCGUAUCUGUCAUCUACGAAAAAAGAUUUUGAAGGACCAGUAGAAAUUAGAAGGAACAACACAUUAAUAAAGCUAUUGCUGAGAAUUUCCUGACAAAAGAGAACUAUGAAAAAGAGUUUUCUGAAUUUUGCUGAAAUAAAUGAAUGUUUCUCAAUUAAUGAAGUUACUACUUUUUGUUCUAAAGUUCAAAAGGAUCAAAAUAAGUUUUUUUA